RNAcentral lists this unclassified non-coding RNA (455 nucleotides) under uncultured Bordetella sp. RNAcentral's name for it is "partial 16S-23S ribosomal RNA intergenic spacer". It matches the Rfam family "Bacterial small subunit ribosomal RNA", at positions 340 to 794 of the family's 1533-position model. Lineage: Bacteria; Pseudomonadati; Pseudomonadota; Betaproteobacteria; Burkholderiales; Alcaligenaceae. The record is from RNAcentral.
UACGGGGCGCAGCAGUGGGGAAUUUUGGACAAUGGGGAAACCUGAUCCAGCCAUCCCGCGUGUGCGAUGAAGGCCUUCGGGUUAUGGCUUACUUUUGGCAGAAAGAAACGGCGCAGGAUAAUACCCGUGCAACUGACAAACACCUGCAGAAUAAGCACCGGCUAACUACGUGCCAGCAGCCGCGGUAAUACGUAGGGUGCAAGCGUUAAUCGGAAUUACUGGCGUAAAGCGUGCGCCGAGCGGUUUCGAAGAAGGAAUCUUGAAAUCCUGAGCUUAACUUUGAACUCAUUUUUAGCUACCGAGCUAGAGUGUCAGAGGGAGGUGGAAUUCCGCGUGUAGCAGUGAAAUGCGUAGAUAUGCGGAGGAACACCGAUGGCGAAGGCAGCCUCCUGGGAUAACACUGACGCUCAUGCACAGCGAUGAGGGGAGCAAACAGGAUUAGAUACCCUCAUGGU